RNAcentral lists this long non-coding RNA (207 nucleotides) under Capsicum annuum. Its description in RNAcentral is "long non-coding RNA (CANN_LNC010059)". The record is from RNAcentral. Lineage: Eukaryota; Viridiplantae; Streptophyta; Magnoliopsida; Solanales; Solanaceae.
UUUUUAAGGGCAAUGAGGUCAUUUGCCUCACAUUAAAAUUGUCCUAAACAAAGGAUUUAAGUCUCCAAAAGUAUUUUACACACUACUAUUCAUCUUUUCUCUAAAAAAAAAAACUUAGCCUUAAGAAAUCAAGAACAAUCCCAUUACUUCUUCUUCAAGGAAGUCAAUAAUUAAAGCUUCUGAGUUCAAGAAAUUCACGAAGAAGCU